UGGCAACAUACAAGUUCCUCCAAGGUGUUAUUGGCCCUUGAAGCUUUGUGACAAGGGCAUCAGGAGAUGUAUCAGCAUCCAGAUGGGGCCACAACUCCUUGUUCUGAGCUUUCUCUCCCCGAACAACAUGAACAGCGUCAAAAUCCCAGUCCAUACUUCCACUAAUCUCAGUAACUAUAUUCAUCAGUCUCUUUGAUUUCCACAAAGCAUGCCACGGCCUCUGGAUGUCUUUGGCAGACAUCAUAAUCCCAGUCCAUACUUCCACUAAUCUCAGUUACUAUAUUCAUCAGUCUCUUUGAUUUCCACAAAGCGUGCCACGGCCUCUGGAUGUCUUUGGCAGCAGGCCCUUCACAGACACGAUACCAGUAGUUC
RNAcentral lists this long non-coding RNA (372 nucleotides) under Nicotiana benthamiana. Its description in RNAcentral is "long non-coding RNA (NBEN_LNC004484)". Lineage: Eukaryota; Viridiplantae; Streptophyta; Magnoliopsida; Solanales; Solanaceae. The record is from RNAcentral.